This 467-nucleotide ribosomal RNA is filed under the name uncultured bacterium. RNAcentral describes it as "partial 16S ribosomal RNA". It matches the Rfam family "Bacterial small subunit ribosomal RNA", at positions 28 to 507 of the family's 1533-position model. The record is from RNAcentral.
GACGAACGCUGGCGGCGUGCUUAACACAUGCAAGUCGAGCGAGGCCCAUCCUUCGGGGUGGUGCCCUAGCGGCGAACGGGUGAGUAACACGUGGGCAACCUGCCCUCAGCUCUGGGAUAACUCCAAGAAAUUGGUGCUAAUACCGGAUGUGACCGCUGACCGCAUGGUCUGGUGGUGGAAAGAUUCAUCGGCUGAGGAUGGGCCCGCGGCCUAUCAGCUUGUUGGUGGGGUAAUGGCCCACCAAGGCGACGGCGGGUAGCCGGCCUGAGAGGGUGACCGGCCACACUGGGACUGAGACACGGCCCAGACUCCUACGGGAGGCAGCAGUGGGGAAUAUUGCGCAAUGGGCGAAAGCCUGACGCAGCGACGCCGCGUGAGGGAUGACGGCCUUCGGGUUGUAAACCUCUUUCAGUAGGGACGAAGCGAAAGUGACGGUACCCACAGAAGAAGCACCGGCCAACUACGUG